GCUUCGGUGGCCUUGUGGUUAGAGCGUCCGCCUCGGCUGCGGGAGGUGGUGGGUUGGAUCCCCAGUCGUGUCAUAGCA
This is a non-coding RNA of Potamilus streckersoni, 78 nucleotides long. NCBI's taxonomy places the organism in Eukaryota, Metazoa, Mollusca, Bivalvia, Unionida, Unionidae. The record is from the annotation of a GenBank genome assembly.